RNAcentral lists this ribosomal RNA (453 nucleotides) under uncultured Porphyromonadaceae bacterium. RNAcentral describes it as "partial 16S ribosomal RNA". It matches the Rfam family "Bacterial small subunit ribosomal RNA", at positions 341 to 792 of the family's 1533-position model. Lineage: Bacteria; Pseudomonadati; Bacteroidota; Bacteroidia; Bacteroidales; Porphyromonadaceae. The record is from RNAcentral.
ACGGGAGGCAGCAGUGAGGAAUAUUGGUCAAUGGGCGGAAGCCUGAACCAGCCAAGUCGCGUGAAGGAUGAAGGUUCUAUGGAUUGUAAACUUCUUUUGUUCGAGGGUAAAGUGAGUCACGUGUGGCUUAUUGCAAGUAUCGAACGAAUAAGCAUCGGCUAACUCCGUGCCAGCAGCCGCGGUAAUACGGAGGAUGCGAGCGUUAUCCGGAUUUAUUGGGUUUAAAGGGUGCGCAGGCGGUCUUUUAAGUCAGUGGUCAAAUCGUGGUGCUCAACGCCAUCCCGCCAUUGAUACUGGGAGACUUGAUUGCGGUUGAGGUAGGCGGAAUUCGUCGUGUAGCGGUGAAAUGCAUAGAUAUGACGAAGAACACCGAUUGCGUAGGCAGCUUACCAAGCCGUAAAUGACGCUCAUGCACGAAAGUGCGGGGAUCGAACAGGAUUAGAUACCCUGGUA